AUCUUGGCCAGCAAUGCUGGACUGGGUUCCUUUGAGGUGAGGGAAACUCUUGGACAUGGGACCUAGUGGGGGCUACCCCUCUGCUUGCCUCCCUGCUGGGUUAACAGUACAGCUGGCCCAGCCAGUCUUGAAACCUUACCCUGCAACAAAAACUUGACACCUCCAGGCCAGUCAUUCUGGAGGUGUCUUCUCUGCCAAGUCGGUGACUCCCCAACCCGCUAUUAUGGCUGGACUCUGCUCUUGCAGUCUUAGUGUACACCCUGGUUCUUCAAGGGCAGCAAGCAGGACUAUUCCGGUAGCAACCAGAGCUGCAGCUCAGGGCCCCGCGCUGGAAAGCUGGGGCAGCUUAGGUGGUAACUAGUGUGCUGAGCAUGAGGGGCGCUAUGGAGCCCAGGCGGGUUUAGGAAGCAUUCCUGGCUUCCUGGAGGAGGGGAAAUAUGGUAAUUCAGGCUGAAGGAGCUGGAUGGGGCCAGGGGCAGUGACUCACGCCUGUAAUCCCAGAACUUUGGAAGGCCUGAGACGGGAGGGUCGCUUGAGCCCAGAAGUUCGAGACCAGCCUGGGAGACAUGGCAAGACCUCGUCUCAAAAAAGCCACGCGUGGUAUGCGCCUGUGCUCCCAGCUGCUUGGGAGGCUGAGGCUGGAGGAUCGCUUGAGCCCUGGAGGUCGAGACUGCUGUGAGCCGUGAUCGCACCACUGGACUCCAGCCUUGGUGGCAGUGAGACCCUGUCCCCAAAGAACUGGGUGAUCUCGACCCUCCACAUCGCUGGCUCUCCACGGGCGCUGCACAGUGGAGACCCAGGAUCUGAUUGCAUAGGACUGGGCACUGGAGUUUAAGUUCUCCAGGGGGGUUUAAUAUGCAACGAAGUUGGGAACCACUACCAGUGAACCCCUUCAUUCUGUGCGGCUCCAGCUCCCGGAAGCCCUCGGACAAGGAACUGCAGCCCAUGUACCGCGUGACGUGAGAGCGGAGCCCGGGUCUGCCCGGGCGCGGGCCCGCGGCCACGGCGUUUGGAUCCCAGAUCCCAUCCCCCGCGCUCAGUCCGGGCUUCCUGACCGGCGCUCUCCGCGUCCCUUCUCGCGCGCCCUUACCUGGGGUUGGGGAGGUGGGGACAGAGCCGGGCGCAGUCCGGGGCACAGCCCUGAGGCGGGGCUGAGGGCCAGGCCGCCACGUCCCUGGACCCUGAAAACGGGCUCGGACCCCCGCUGCAGCGUGGACUCCGGUGAGGCCGCGGGGCGUGCAACCCGGACCCUGGCCAGCUCCGUGUCCUCCAGACCUUUACUCAUGGCCCCGCAUCGCCAGGCCGAGCUGCACCUUCGGUCCCCGCCCGCGGCAGCCGAGGAGAGGAGAGCAAGGCCCAGACAGGGGAGGAACCCACACAGCCUCUGUGCUCCAGCCUGCUUGAAAGACAAGGUCUACCUACAACGCAGAGAUGCACACAUUAAGGACAAUGAAACACCCAAGUGUUAGGAACCAGAAUAAUCAGCCCUAAUAGAGGGGAGGCUGAUCAGGGAGGGCCUCCUGGAGGAGGAGGCACAACAUCAGGGUGCACUGUGAUUUCUGGAGACCCAAGGAGUUCUGGUAAAUGACAGAUGGUUCUGAGACUUUGGAAAGAAAGAAAAGGAAAAAAGACCCUGCCCGCGCCCCAGCUGGGCAUCCCUGGGAGGUCGCGAGGAUCCCCGGAGACCCAGACUCGGGACGGGGCGCCCCCGGCCAGAGCGGCCCCUGGCUGCCUCCCUACGCCCCGCGACUCCGGUCCGGACGCCGAGGGCCUCGGCC
Molecule: long non-coding RNA, 1778 nt
Filed under: Pan troglodytes (chimpanzee)
Lineage: Eukaryota; Metazoa; Chordata; Mammalia; Primates; Hominidae
Description: long non-coding RNA NONPTRT009537
Source: RNAcentral